RNAcentral lists this ribosomal RNA (274 nucleotides) under uncultured bacterium. RNAcentral describes it as "partial 16S ribosomal RNA". It matches the Rfam family "Bacterial small subunit ribosomal RNA", at positions 523 to 796 of the family's 1533-position model. The record is from RNAcentral.
AUACGAAGGGGGCUAGCGUUGUUCGGAAUUACUGGGCGUAAAGCGCGCGUAGGCGGAUUGGUCAGUUAGGGGUGAAAUCCCAGGGCUUAACCCUGGAACUGCCUCUAAUACUGCCAGUCUUGAGUUCGGGAGAGGUGAGUGGAAUUCCUAGUGUAGAGGUGAAAUUCGUAGAUAUUAGGAAGAACACCAGUGGCGAAGGCGGCUCACUGGCCCGAUACUGACGCUGAGACGCGAAAGCGUGGGGAGCAAACAGGAUUAGAAACCCCAGUAGUCC